Molecule: ribosomal RNA, 468 nt
Filed under: uncultured bacterium
Lineage: Bacteria
Description: partial 16S ribosomal RNA
Rfam family: Bacterial small subunit ribosomal RNA
Source: RNAcentral
GACGAACGCUGGCGGCGUGCUUAACACAUGCAAGUCGAACGGAAAGGCCCUGCUUUUGUGGGGUGCUCGAGUGGCGAACGGGUGAGUAACACGUGAGUAACCUGCCCUUGACUUUGGGAUAACUUCAGGAAGCUGGGGCUAAUACCGGAUAGGAGCUCCUGCUGCUGGGUGGGGGUUGGAAAGUUUCGGCGGUUGGGGAUGGACUCGCGGCUUAUCAGCUUGUUGGUGGGGUAGUGGCUUACCAAGGCUUUGACGGGUAGCCGGCCUGAGAGGGUGACCGGCCACAUUGGGACUGAGAUACGGCCCAGACUCCUACGGGAGGCAGCAGUGGGGAAUAUUGCACAAUGGGCGGAAGCCUGAUGCAGCAACGCCGCGUGCGGGAUGACGGCCUUCGGGUUGUAAACCGCUUUCGCCUGUGACGAAGCGUGAGUGACGGUAAUGGGUAAAGAAGCACCGGCUAACUACGUG